AAAGACUUGACGGUACUUCACACCAACCUAGAGGAGCCUGUCUAAUAACCGAUGCUCCACGAUUAACCCCACCCACUCUAGCCUUAACAGUCUAUAUACCGCCGUCGCCAGCUUACCUUGUGAAAGUAAUAAAGUGAGCAAAACAGGUCACCCCUAACACGACAGGUCGAGGUGUAACUUAUGAGUGGGUAAAAGAUGGGCUACACUUUCUAACCCAGAAAACACGAAUAAACUAUGAAACUAGAAACUGAAGGCGGAUUUAGCAGUACGAUAAGAAUAAAAUACUUA
RNAcentral lists this ribosomal RNA (288 nucleotides) under Arrhyton dolichura. RNAcentral's name for it is "partial 12S ribosomal RNA". Lineage: Eukaryota; Metazoa; Chordata; Lepidosauria; Squamata; Dipsadidae. The record is from RNAcentral.